This 275-nucleotide ribosomal RNA is filed under the name uncultured bacterium. RNAcentral's name for it is "partial 16S ribosomal RNA". It matches the Rfam family "Bacterial small subunit ribosomal RNA", at positions 399 to 691 of the family's 1533-position model. The record is from RNAcentral.
GCGUGAGUGAUGAAGGCCUUAGGGUUGUAAAGCUCUUUUACCAGGGAUGAUAAUGACAGUACCUGGAGAAUAAGCUCCGGCUAACUCCGUGCCAGCAGCCGCGGUAAUACGGAGGGAGCUAGCGUUGUUCGGAAAUACUGGGCGUAAAGCGCACGUAGGCGGCGCAGCAAGUCAGGGGUGAAAUCCCGGGGCUCAACCUCGGAACUGCCUCUGAAACUGCAGUGCUAGAAUCUUGGAGAGGCGAGUGGAAUUCCGAGUGUAGAGGUGAAAUUCGU